This 1112-nucleotide long non-coding RNA is filed under the name Citrus sinensis (sweet orange). RNAcentral describes it as "long non-coding RNA (CSIN_LNC004189)". The record is from RNAcentral. Lineage: Eukaryota; Viridiplantae; Streptophyta; Magnoliopsida; Sapindales; Rutaceae.
GCAAAAAGAACUCCUCAAACAGAUGGCAUCCUUUGUUGCUGGGGACCCUAUCAAACCAAAGAGUUAAUUAAGCUCACAUUCAUCACUUUUCAAGCAAAUCAGCUACACAAUACAUUAAUUUGUUAGUUGUUUUAAGUGGAUUUGAGUGCAAGAAAAAGGGACAAAAUCUCACCAAAAUAAUGAAUUUAUUUUUGGGAUUCAAGGCAUCUCACUUAAUUGCGUUAUAGAGACUGUUCUGGGCUUCAAAGGAGGAGAAGAAGAGUGGGAGAGGGGCUGAUAAUAGUCAAAGGUCAGAUGUGGGGAGAGAGGACUUGAAAGAAUGCCUUUAAACCUGCAAAACAACAAAAAGGAGGUUAGAGGUGGAGUCGGCAAUGGCCGGCGACUACAUCCGAAACUCAAGUAAGCUAAUUGAACUUUUUAAGGUGAUGAGAGCUUGCAAGCUCUUUAAAAUAGUGGCUAGAAGUUGAAUAAAACUUUAGUCUUUUUUUGUGUGUUUUUGUAAUGAGUUUAAGAAAAAUAGAACCUUAUUGCCUUUAUAUAGUACACUCUAGGUACCCUUACCACAUGACACAUCUUUAGUGGUGAUUCUACUGUCCUUUCUAAGAUUCUCGUCCUUUUUACUUUUAUGGUGAUCUUUGGGCGAUUAGGGGCAUGCUUACGAAGCAAAGAGCACGUUAUGAUGCGUAAGUUGUUUUCUUGCACACAUGGUAUACGCUGCAAUGUAGUCCUGGAAAACUUUGCAAAAGCUAUGUCCUUUCUAAGAUUCUCAUCCUUUUACUUUUAUGGUGAUCUUUGGGCGAUUAGGAGCAUGCUUACAAAGCAAAGAGCACGUUAUGAUGCAUAAGUUGUUUUCUUGCACACAUGGUAUAUGCUGCAAUGUGGUCCUGGAAAACUUUGCAAAAGCUAUUUGGGCAGUUGUAGGUGUGACAGUUGAGUAUCAUUGUACUUGGCGUGCCGCUUUUUGCAGGUGUGAUGGCCAACAGUCCCCUCUUUUCCAACAAAAUAUUAUUUAUUUGAUUUUACCAAAUCAAUAUUCUCUUUAGACGAUGGAAAUAGCACGUAUGGUGAAUAUUUUUAGAUAUUUUCUUUAAUACUAUAAUUUUGUCAUGGCG